AUCAAAAUAUAUGUUACCUCUGUUUGUGCAUUCUUGUACAUAUCUUACCCGUUUGCCCAUCCAUGGUUUUUGUUUAUUAAAUAAAUGUCUUUCUUGAAUACUUAAAGCUUCUUAUUUCGUAGUCUCUGUUAUAUUUUGUAGUAUCUGUUAUAUAUGAUUAAUGGCUGCCAACAUAUGUUUCUUAUUCCUUUUAGAAAGAACUUUGAGGCUGGUUGGAACUGAAAAUGAUCAUGUAAUUGAAAUAGGAAAAGAAGUAGAAAUGGAACU
This 267-nucleotide long non-coding RNA is filed under the name Nicotiana benthamiana. RNAcentral describes it as "long non-coding RNA (NBEN_LNC006181)". The record is from RNAcentral. Lineage: Eukaryota; Viridiplantae; Streptophyta; Magnoliopsida; Solanales; Solanaceae.